GCCGAGGUGGUGGAAUGGUAGACACGCCUGUCUUAGGAGCAGGUCCCGUAAGGGGUGGGGGUUCAAGUCCCCCCUUCGGCACCA
This 84-nucleotide transfer RNA is filed under the name Candidatus Dojkabacteria bacterium. RNAcentral's name for it is "tRNA-Leu". It matches the Rfam family "tRNA". Rfam says of the family: Transfer RNA (tRNA) molecules are approximately 80 nucleotides in length. Their secondary structure includes four short double-helical elements and three loops (D, anti-codon, and T loops). The record is from RNAcentral.